UCACUGAAAGAGGAACUUUUUUUUUUUCUUUUUCAAGGUCCCAGGAGCUUGAGCACCGGAGGACUUUACAGGAAAAACUUAAACUCCACAGCCGUACAUUUUGGGACGCCACAGCUGCAUUCUUUGCUUUUGUGAGUAGAUGGGAUUUUGAUUUUGUUGUAUUUUCCUCUUUCACUACAUGCCUGCCCUGAAGCCAGUGUUGAACACAAUCUUCCUGUGUUGGUGGGAAACCUGAAUGACGACAUGCUUUGAGAGGGUGUGUCUCGUCCAUCCAUUCAUCUCAUUCCUCUCCAGUUCUCCUUCCACUCCCUUAAUAUACCAGUGUUUCCUUCCUUCCCUCCUUCAUCCCCAUUUUCUGCAAUGUCCACCACUUUACCUCCUCCCCAACCAAGAGGCAUGGACUACAGCCUCCCCACCUGUGGAGAGACUCGGUGCAAUAGCCAUGGUACUUGUAUUGUUCCUUCUGGUGGUGGUGCCAAUCUGGUGUGUGACUGUGACCUGGGCUACCGCGGCGAAUCCUGUGAGGAUACGGUCAACGGGGCGUUGAGUGUACCACUGACCCUGAGUGUGGUGGGCGUCAUCAUUGGGGUGCUAAUCCUGGCUUUCGUCCUUGCCAAGCUGCGACAGAAGCAAAAGAUGAGACACAGGAGAAAUGUGGCAGAAAAAUAUGGCUAUAACAUUGCUGUGUGAUGAGGAGAAAUCUCCAUUUUAUCUCAGGUCAACCAUGACAUUGUGGCCAGUGACCCUAUUGAGCUUCCACAAGCUUUUCUCUGCAGUGAGCUUGCAGUUUGUUUAAGUGGGAAUCUUGCAAAAAUGGAAUCAGGGUUUACUCUUUUACUGUGAUGCCUGACCGCUGACUACUCCUGUAUGACUAAUGCUGCAGCAUGCCAGAAACUCCAAUACUGAACUUAUGAACUGAACUUUUACUCUGCAAGGGAGUUGGCUGAGGGAUCAGUCUGUUCUGUCCAACUGUGGGCGACACCCUGAUUUACAUCGACUGUUUAAUUCUGCACACUGCCAGUCCAUUGUGAUUUAUAAAGGAGGUAGUGACAAAUAGUGACACAACUUCACUUCUGUAACUAUGUUUUACAUAUUUCAGUCAAUGAUGGAAGAAUCACUUCAAUUUAUAUCCCAGCAGACAAAUGGCAUGCAUGUAACUUACAAACCCCCCCCACCCACCCCAGA
Molecule: long non-coding RNA, 1185 nt
Organism: Seriola dumerili (greater amberjack)
Lineage: Eukaryota; Metazoa; Chordata; Actinopteri; Carangiformes; Carangidae
Exons: 4
Source: RefSeq, a predicted model, not a curated record